This 524-nucleotide long non-coding RNA is filed under the name Mytilus galloprovincialis (Mediterranean mussel). Lineage: Eukaryota; Metazoa; Mollusca; Bivalvia; Mytilida; Mytilidae. The record is from RNAcentral.
GUUUGCUUUCCCCUCUCUGUGAUUAAAGUAAGAUAACUCUGGUCAAUUUUCCUAACAUUCAAUCAUUAUAGGAAGAUGAUAUAGUUCUGUUUUCAUUUAUAGUCUUUUUCAGAAAAGUUCUAAUUGUUUUGGGUAGGUCCCAAUUACAAUUUUACACUCUAGCAUUCGGCAUCAGUUAGAAGCUUCUGGAAUAAAAUGGUGGCUAUGGUGUACUGUUUUGUGUUUGUGUUAGGCGUUAUUACACUUCUUUCAUGUAUUUGUCUUAAGGGAUCGAGUAAAGCAGAUAAGUUACAUCAGCUUUCUGCUUCAUUUGAGUUCUGGCAUAAUGGUAUACACCAUACCGAUCUUAGAAACAAAUGCCUUUACGAGUAGAAUGGCGAAUGCUGUUGGACAGUUUUUGAUGCAUACCACAACUUGAAACAGUGUAUUCUUGACAGCACAUUUAAUGUUUUUCACCGGCAUAUUGUACCUCAAAAAGUAGAAAAAAAGUGUUUUGUUUUAAUAAUUUCCAGGAUAUGGCUUUA